This 253-nucleotide ribosomal RNA is filed under the name uncultured bacterium. Its description in RNAcentral is "partial 16S ribosomal RNA". It matches the Rfam family "Bacterial small subunit ribosomal RNA", at positions 524 to 776 of the family's 1533-position model. The record is from RNAcentral.
UACAGAGGGUGCGAGCGUUGUUCGGAAUUAUUGGGCGUAAAGGGCGCGUAGGCGGUGCGGUAAGUCUGUAGUGAAAUCUCUGGGCUCAACUCAUAGUCUGCAUCGGAAACUGCCGGGCUUGAGUGUGGGAGAGGUGAGUGGAAUUCCUGGUGUAGCGGUGAAAUGCGUAGAUAUCAGGAGGAACACCUGUGGCGAAAGCGGCUCACUGGACCAUAACUGACGCUGAUGCACGAAAGCUAGGGGAGCAAACAGG